Long non-coding RNA from Exaiptasia diaphana, 700 nucleotides. RefSeq lists it as uncharacterized. Lineage: Eukaryota; Metazoa; Cnidaria; Anthozoa; Actiniaria; Aiptasiidae. The record is from RefSeq and is a predicted model, not a curated record. The transcript is spliced from 2 exons.
AUGAAGUUUAAUGUAAACCAUUACCUUCACAUUGCUCUCCCGACGUGCCAUCCUUACAAAGGCAAAGGGUUGCGUUGUUUUGAAUGGUACUGCACUCUCCUUCAUUUGUAGUGGUUAAAAGCUGCAUCGUUUGUCAAAGUGUUGCUCUUGGUGAAGCUAUCCGAAGACAGCAAUUCACAGACGUGGAAACCAUUCGGUUCAGGAAUGGACUUGAAAUUACAAGAUUGACACCAUGAAGCGCGAAUGCACUCGGUCAAACAGCUCGUCGACUUGUGAUCAACAAGAGUUGACUGCGACUUGGCUCCGUUAAGAAGUUUUAAUCUUUGUUUUCGAUGACAAUCAAAUAGAAUAAGAUCAUUUUGUGAUCGGCUGGCUAUGUGGUGAACUACUAAUAAAAACAGAAGCACACAAGCGAUUUCUUUUGAAAUCAACAUCUUAGUGAAAUGAUAACAUUUGUAGUGAGUCUGGUCAAUAGUUAAGAAACAAAGUUACAAGGGCGGACCCAGGGGGCGGAUCGUGAUUGAUUAGUCACAACUAGACAUUACAAUCUAAUUAAAUAAGAUAAGAAGAACAAAUAAGACUCAAAGAUAUAAAAAUUUGUACAGGGGGUUGGUAUAUUGAAGUUACUMAAUAUCAAUCUUCAGGCGCUCAAAACUAGACAUUUCCAUGUCUAAUUAAAUAAAAAGAACAAACUAGACUC